CCUACGGGUGGCUGCAGUGAGGAAUAUUGGUCAAUGGGCUUAAGCCUGAACCAGCCAAGUCGCGUGAGGGAUGAAGGUCCUAUGGAUCGUAAACCUCUUUUGUCAGGGAACAAAGUGCGGGACGUGUCCCGUUUUGUAUGUACCUUAUGAAAAAGGAUCGGCUAACUCCGUGCCAGCAGCCGCGGUAAUACGGGGGAUACGAGCGUUAUCCGGGUUUAUUGGGUUUAAAGGGUGCGUAGGCGGCCUUUUAAGUCAGCGGUGAAAGUCUGGGGCUCAACCCUCGAAUUGCCGUUGAAACUGGGAGGCUUGAGUAUGUUUGAGGCAGGCGGAAUGCGUGGUGUAGCGGUGAAAUGCAUAGAUAUCACGCAGAACCCCGAUUGCGAAGGCAGCAUGCC
This 395-nucleotide ribosomal RNA is filed under the name uncultured bacterium. RNAcentral describes it as "partial 16S ribosomal RNA". It matches the Rfam family "Bacterial small subunit ribosomal RNA", at positions 338 to 730 of the family's 1533-position model. The record is from RNAcentral.